GGUGGUGGCGGUGGAGGUGGAGGUGGUGGU
Molecule: non-coding RNA, 30 nt
Filed under: Homo sapiens (human)
Lineage: Eukaryota; Metazoa; Chordata; Mammalia; Primates; Hominidae
Source: RNAcentral